RNAcentral lists this long non-coding RNA (454 nucleotides) under Sorghum bicolor (sorghum). Its description in RNAcentral is "long non-coding RNA (SBIC_LNC008601)". Lineage: Eukaryota; Viridiplantae; Streptophyta; Magnoliopsida; Poales; Poaceae. The record is from RNAcentral.
UGCCACCAAAUUUUGUGUGGAGCCAGGGAAUAAUAGUCAGAGGCUCCCCACAAUUUUUGGUGAUUUUUGGACAUACAAAUAAAUUAUUAAAAUUCCUAGAAGUUUUAUUCACUAAUUAAAAGAGCAAAUUUUUACAGACAUGUAAACUACCAGAAAACAGAAUCCACUAUUUUUCUUGUGUUCUACCCACUUUAUGGAACCUAUACAAAAACUUUCAUCAUUUUUGGAUUAGCACACAAUUUAUCACAUAAUUUCAAACAUCAAACAAAAAUUGCAUAAAAAGAAAAAAGAAAAAGAUCUUUGCGUAGUGGGCGGCCUGGAUCUUGGCCCGCAGGCCGGCCCAUGCGCGCUCGGCCCGCGCACGCACUGCGCGCGCUGCCCCUCCCCUCAUGUGGACACUGACGAGCGGGCCUCGCUCGUCAGGCUCUCCCUUCCCCUCUCUCUGCGGAAGCUG